Molecule: ribosomal RNA, 464 nt
Filed under: Vreelandella stevensii
Lineage: Bacteria; Pseudomonadati; Pseudomonadota; Gammaproteobacteria; Oceanospirillales; Halomonadaceae
Description: partial 16S ribosomal RNA
Rfam family: Bacterial small subunit ribosomal RNA
Source: RNAcentral
CCUACGGGGGCAGCAGUGGGGAAUAUUGGACAAUGGGGGGAACCCUGAUCCAGCCAUGCCGCGUGUGUGAAGAAGGCCCUCGGGUUGUAAAGCACUUUCAGUGAGGAAGAACGCCUGGUGGUUAAUACCCAUCAGGAAAGACAUCACUCACAGAAGAAGCACCGGCUAACUCCGUGCCAGCAGCCGCGGUAAUACGGAGGGUGCGAGCGUUAAUCGGAAUUACUGGGCGUAAAGCGCGCGUAGGUGGCUUGAUAAGCCGGUUGUGAAAGCCCCGGGCUCAACCUGGGAACGGCAUCCGGAACUGUCAAGCUAGAGUGCAGGAGAGGAAGGUAGAAUUCCCGGUGUAGCGGUGAAAUGCGUAGAGAUCGGGAGGAAUACCAGUGGCGAAGGCGGCCUUCUGGACUGACACUGACACUGAGGUGCGAAAGCGUGGGUAGCAAACAGGAUUAGAUACCCUAGUAGUC